This 1435-nucleotide long non-coding RNA is filed under the name Marmota monax (woodchuck). The record is from RNAcentral. Lineage: Eukaryota; Metazoa; Chordata; Mammalia; Rodentia; Sciuridae.
AACGGAUUCCUCUGCCUUUCAAUCAAUAAAAUAAUUAGAAUUCACUUUAGUACAGAGAAUCUGGAGGAGUUAUAAAAGUACUCAAACAAUGUAACAAUUGUGAAGUAAUCAAAUAAAUAGCAGGCUCAUUCAUUCACAGGAAUCACAGUCCUCCAGGAGACCUCAUUAGAAACUAAGGGCAAAGGAGGUUAGCAACUAUAAAUUCUAAUUUUUCUUUUCUUUUUUUUUUAUUCUUUUGGAAUUCUUUGUUACCUUAUUUUUUUACUUGUUAAUCAGUCCGCUCAUGUUAGUAGAAUAUCCAUAGUACACAUCACACACACACACUUUGACACAGGUAUUAUGAUACAAUAAUUAUUUUCACAUGCAUUUUGUAGACAUCAAUCUUACUGUUCAUUAUCUCCUAUUAGAUUUAUGUCUCUAUUCUCUCUAUUUCCUCUUGGCUGGAAUUUCAUGUAAUCAGAAGAAACUCUAUGUGUGUUGCUCAGUGCUUAACAGAGAUUCACUUUCUACACACCAGAUUUCCUUUGGGAAUAUUCUAUUCCCUCUUAAUUCAGAGCUAUUAUAAUAUGGAGGAAAUUAUCUAAAUGUCUUUUCUCUCACAAGAGAAAAACAAUGAUUCUGUUUGCCAAGCUAGCUCAUAAACCCAAAGAUCAGAAUGAGUCCCAUCUUUUUAAUUUAGCAAAAACCAGCUUGGAAAAUUCUAUCCUGGAAAAUUAUAAUGCUGAGGGUAUGUGCAUCUUAAGAGCUGAUUUGAGGGCUGGAGUUGUGGCUCAGUGGUAGAACACUUGUCUAGCACACGUGAGGUACUGGGUUCAAUCCCUGGUGCCACAUAAAAAUAAAACAAACAUAUUGUGUUCAUCUACAACUAAAAAAUAUUUUUAAAAAAAGAGCUGAUUUAAGAGUAUUUUAACCAGGACUCAAUCAGAUAGUUCACAGAGGAAUAUCUCAUGAUUUUCUGUGGGAAUUCUGUGUUUGGUAUUGGGGUCUACAAACUUUGUGAUUGUGACAUACUUGGUGACUAGGAAGCUUCUGUGCAGACACAGAAUGCCUGGCUGCUAGGAGAUACCUAGCUAGUGGGAAACUCCUGCACAAAAGCGUAGGGUCCCUGGCUGCCAUAGCAUUGUCCUUCAUAAGCUUACUCUGCUGCCCAGACCUGGGGUGCACAGGCUCCUCCCUCCGAGGUAAUAAGACAACUCUGCAGGCGCUCUCUGGUCUCCAUGGUGAUGCCCUGGAGAAUGGGGGCCCCUGUUUGUUCUAACCUGGACCUUAUCUCAGUUAGCUAGCACUCAGGGUUAAAGAAAUGCUAAUCAGAAUGUAGUCAUGGUAAUGGGAGGUAGAUGUUCUUUGAGUUAAUCAACUCCCAGGCAGGGAGGGGCCGACACUUCACUUCCACACUUCUUCUUCACCACUUCACUCCUCUCCUCUCCACUCUUCC